This is an RNA transcript of Osmia bicornis bicornis, 870 nucleotides long. RefSeq lists it as uncharacterized. Lineage: Eukaryota; Metazoa; Arthropoda; Insecta; Hymenoptera; Megachilidae. The record is from RefSeq and is a predicted model, not a curated record. The transcript has 5 exons.
CCACGAGUAAAAUAUUAUUAAUUUCCAAGUAUCUUUUUAAGCCUAUAGGCUUUCGAGUUCUUGCGAACUUUGCAAUUUCAUGAGAGAGACGUCUGACUCGGAGUUCACACAAACCUUGCAAAUUCUUGCGAGUCGUUCGACAGAUUAAUUUCAGAAUUUGCGGCAUGAUACUGGAAGUGCCGAGUGUCUUAGAGUUUGGAGGGGGAUGUUUCUCAGUGCUUUAUAAACGCAUCACCGACGUGUUUUCGUUAUUUACAAUGGAGCGCACAAUAACGACAUUGCAACUGGAGGCGUUGGCCGCAUUUUUGAAAACGGAGCCGGGUGCAAUGCGCCAAUUAGGAAUCGUAUACGUGGCGGACGUAGCAAGAGUUCGUCGGGAGCGGGCGGCAAACAGGAAAAAUCUGGAAGAGCUGUGGGUCGAAGGAGUGCGAAGGCACUGUCAAAACAUCGACGUCUUCGACCUGCGAUAUCUAUUCGGAUAUGAAAUUGAUCCGGAUUGGUGGUAGUGUUUUUCUGCCUUCCGCUCGCCGCCACGAAUUCCUGCACGAAUUCGCCCGCCACGAUGAUCCGGAUUGGUGAUCCUGCUCCUUCCGCUCGCCCUUAUUAUAUAUCUUGAAAGAUGUUCACGACAUCUGUGGUCCUCUUCUUGGCAUCACACAGUGUGACGACUUCCGUAUCGCCGCCACGAAUUCCUGCACAAACUCGCCCGCCACGAUGAUCCGGAUUGGGUCUCAGAUUAUAACAAUAGAAGGCAUCGUACGAUUAGAAUGCGGCCCGUCGACGUAACAUCGGAACACGCGGACAAACUUUUAUCGUCCGUAUAUUCUAACAUAAAGAUUGUAGCUCCGGCCAAGUACAAGAUCGGUGAAC